GAUCGGGAUGGGCGUUUCGCCUGAGCUCAGCAAAGGCGCUCUGCGGCCCAACGGCCCAGCUGACUGGACUCUUUGCUUGUUCCAGUCGCUCUUUCCCGAAGGGGCCCCAGUGACACCCGUAUUCACGAGACCGGGCCAUAAAUGCGCGUGGCUGACGGCGCUCGGCAUUGCGUUUUCUGAAAACACGACGACACUGGAUUGCAGCCAAAAUGCCAGGAUCAAAAGGUAAUAAAUCGGACAAGAAAUCCAACACAAAGCCUCCUCAGAGCCCCAAGGAUCAGCCCAAGAAAGGUGAUCAGAAGGGAGAUGAGAAACAGGGAGGACAGCAGAAGGAGAAGCAGUAACUUCCAGGCGUUUCUGAAGAUGGCGCUCGAGACACUGCUCGGCUCCUGUCGUCGCAGACACGGUGGCUCCCGUGGCUGGCAUGGCUGAGGACCCGACCCCCCUCGACCCCCCCACCCGGCUGAUCCCACUCUCCUGUCUCCGGUCCACGAAGCAGACGUUUGCAGACACACUUAACAGUCAGAGGUCCCUCCUCCUCUACUGCAUGCUGACCGACAGCAGUUUUCUAAACC
Molecule: long non-coding RNA, 575 nt
Organism: Anguilla anguilla (European eel)
Lineage: Eukaryota; Metazoa; Chordata; Actinopteri; Anguilliformes; Anguillidae
Exons: 4
Source: RefSeq, a predicted model, not a curated record